GGCGGUAUGCUUAACACAUGCAAGAUCGAACGGUCUUUUCGGAGAAUAGUGGCGGACGGGUGAGUAACGCGUAAGAAUCUACCUUCAGGUUGGGGACAACCAGUGGAAACGGUGGCUAAUACCCAAUGUGCCGAGAGGUGAAAGGCUUGCUGCCUGAAGAAGAGCUUGCGUCUGAUUAGCUAGUUGGUGGGGUAAGAGCCUACCAAGGCGACGAUCAGUAGCUGGUCUGAGAGGAUGAUCAGCCACACUGGGACUGAGACACGGCCCAGACUCCUACGGGAGGCAGCAGUGGGGAAUUUUCCGCAAUGGGCGAAAGCCUGACGGAGCAAUACCGCGUGAGGGAGGAAGGCUCUUGGGUUGUAAACCUCUUUUCUCAGGGAAGAACAAAAUGACGGUACCUGAGGAAUAAGCAUCGGCUAACUCCGUGCCAGCAGCCGCGGUAGUACGGAGGAUGCAAGCGUUAUCCGGAAUGAUUGGGCGUAAAGGGUCCGCAGGUGGCAUUGUAAGUCUGCUGUUAAAGAGUUUGGCUCAACCAAAUAAAGCAGUGGAAACUACAAAGCUAGAGUGUGGUCGGGGCAGAGGAAUUCCUGGUGUAGCGGUGAAAUGCGUAGAUAUCA
Molecule: ribosomal RNA, 617 nt
Filed under: uncultured cyanobacterium
Lineage: Bacteria; Bacillati; Cyanobacteriota
Description: bacterial SSU rRNA
Rfam family: Bacterial small subunit ribosomal RNA
Source: RNAcentral